AACGUAGGAGGCAAGCGUUAUCCGAAUUUACUGGGCGUAAAGCGUGUGCAGGCGGACUGGUAAGUUGGAUGUGAAAUCUCCCGGCUCAACUGGGAGAGGACGUUCAAAACUGCCAGACUGGAGGGCGGUAGAGGGAGGUGGAAUUCCCGGUGUAGUGGUGAAAUGCGUAGAUAUCGGGAGGAACACCUGUGGCGAAAGCGGCCUCCUGGGCCGUACCUGACGCUGAGACACGAAAGCUAGGGGAGCGAACGGGAUUAGAAACCCGAGUAGUCC
RNAcentral lists this ribosomal RNA (273 nucleotides) under uncultured prokaryote. RNAcentral describes it as "partial 16S ribosomal RNA". It matches the Rfam family "Bacterial small subunit ribosomal RNA", at positions 524 to 796 of the family's 1533-position model. The record is from RNAcentral.